RNAcentral lists this ribosomal RNA (1737 nucleotides) under Staphylococcus aureus. RNAcentral's name for it is "partial 23S ribosomal RNA". It matches the Rfam family "Bacterial large subunit ribosomal RNA", at positions 1 to 1735 of the family's 2925-position model. Lineage: Bacteria; Bacillati; Bacillota; Bacilli; Caryophanales; Staphylococcaceae. The record is from RNAcentral.
AGAUUAAGUUAUUAAGGGCGCACGGUGGAUGCCUUGGCACUAGAAGCCGAUGAAGGACGUUACUAACGACGAUAUGCUUUGGGGAGCUGUAAGUAAGCUUUGAUCCAGAGAUUUCCGAAUGGGGAAACCCAGCAUGAGUUAUGUCAUGUUAUCGAUAUGUGAAUACAUAGCAUAUCAGAAGGCACACCCGGAGAACUGAAACAUCUUAGUACCCGGAGGAAGAAAAAGAAAAUUCGAUUCCCUUAGUAGCGGCGAGCGAAACGGGAAGAGCCCAAACCAACAAGCUUGCUUGUUGGGGUUGUAGGACACUCUAUACGGAGUUACAAAGGACGACAUUAGACGAAUCAUCUGGAAAGAUGAAUCAAAGAAGGUAAUAAUCCUGUAGUCGAAAAUGUUGUCUCUCUUGAGUGGAUCCUGAGUACGACGGAACACGUGAAAUUCCGUCGGAAUCUGGGAGGACCAUCUCCUAAGGCUAAAUACUCUCUAGUGACCGAUAGUGAACCAGUACCGUGAGGGAAAGGUGAAAAGCACCCCGGAAGGGGAGUGAAAUAGAACCUGAAACCGUGUGCUUACAAGUAGUCAGAGCCCGUUAAUGGGUGAUGGCGUGCCUUUUGUAGAAUGAACCGGCGAGUUACGAUUUGAUGCAAGGUUAAGCAGUAAAUGUGGAGCCGUAGCGAAAGCGAGUCUGAAUAGGGCGUUUAGUAUUUGGUCGUAGACCCGAAACCAGGUGAUCUACCCUUGGUCAGGUUGAAGUUCAGGUAACACUGAAUGGAGGACCGAACCGACUUACGUUGAAAAGUGAGCGGAUGAACUGAGGGUAGCGGAGAAAUUCCAAUCGAACCUGGAGAUAGCUGGUUCUCUCCGAAAUAGCUUUAGGGCUAGCCUCAAGUGAUGAUUAUUGGAGGUAGAGCACUGUUUGGACGAGGGGCCCCUCUCGGGUUACCGAAUUCAGACAAACUCCGAAUGCCAAUUAAUUUAACUUGGGAGUCAGAACAUGGGUGAUAAGGUCCGUGUUCGAAAGGGAAACAGCCCAGACCACCAGCUAAGGUCCCAAAAUAUAUGUUAAGUGGAAAAGGAUGUGGCGUUGCCCAGACAACUAGGAUGUUGGCUUAGAAGCAGCCAUCAUUUAAAGAGUGCGUAAUAGCUCACUAGUCGAGUGACACUGCGCCGAAAAUGUACCGGGGCUAAACAUAUUACCGAAGCUGUGGAUUGUCCUUUGGACAAUGGUAGGAGAGCGUUCUAAGGGCGUUGAAGCAUGAUCGUAAGGACAUGUGGAGCGCUUAGAAGUGAGAAUGCCGGUGUGAGUAGCGAAAGACGGGUGAGAAUCCCGUCCACCGAUUGACUAAGGUUUCCAGAGGAAGGCUCGUCCGCUCUGGGUUAGUCGGGUCCUAAGCUGAGGCCGACAGGCGUAGGCGAUGGAUAACAGGUUGAUAUUCCUGUACCACCUAUAAUCGUUUUAAUCGAUGGGGGGACGCAGUAGGAUAGGCGAAGCGUGCGAUUGGAUUGCACGUCUAAGCAGUAAGGCUGAGUAUUAGGCAAAUCCGGUACUCGUUAAGGCUGAGCUGUGAUGGGGAGAAGACAUUGAGUCUUCGAGUCGUUGAUUUCACACUGCCGAGAAAAGCCUCUAGAUAGAAAAUAGGUGCCCGUACCGCAAACCGACACAGGUAGUCAAGAUGAGAAUUCUAAGGUGAGCGAGCGAACUCUCGUUAAGGAACUCGGCAAAAUGACCCCGUAACU